Molecule: non-coding RNA, 1570 nt
Organism: Salmo salar (Atlantic salmon)
Lineage: Eukaryota; Metazoa; Chordata; Actinopteri; Salmoniformes; Salmonidae
Source: RefSeq, a predicted model, not a curated record
CUAUAGUCUUGUGUACAGCACCGUCUCUGUAUUCAGUGGUUGACCUUUAACCCCUGACCUCUCUCUAUAGUCUUGUGUACAGCACCGUCUCUGUAUUCAGUGGUUGACCUUUAACCCCUAACCUCUCUCUCUAUAGUCUUGUGUACAGCACCGUCUCUGUAUUCAAUGGUUGACCUUUAACCCCUAACCUCUCUCUCUAUAGUCUUGUGUACAGCACCGUCUCUGUAUUCAGUGGUUGACCUUUAACCCCUAACCUCUCUCUCUAUAGUCUUGUGUACAGCACCGUCUCUGUAUUCAGUGGUUGACCUUUAACCCCUAACCUCUCUCUCUAUAGUCUUGUGUACAGCACCGUCUCUGUAUUCAGUGGUUGACCUUUAACCCCUGACCUCUCUCUAUAGUCUUGUGUACAGCACCGUCUCUGUAUUCAGUGGUUGACCUUUAACCCCUAACCUCUCUCUCUAUAGUCUUGUGUACAGCACCGUCUCUGUAUUCAGUGGUUGACCUUUAACCCCUGAUCUCUCUCUAUAGUCUUGUGUACAGCACCGUCUCUGUAUUCAGUGGUUGACCUUUAACCCCUAACCUCUCUCUCUAUAGUCUUGUGUACAGCACCGUCUCUGUAUUCAGUGGUUGACCUUUAACCCCUGACCUCUCUCUAUAGUCUUGUGUACAGCACCGUCUCUGUAUUCAGUGGUUGACCUUUAACCCCUAACCUCUCUCUCUAUAGUCUUGUGUACAGCACCGUCUCUGUAUUCAGUGGUUGACCUUUAACCCCUAACCUCUCUCUCUAUAGUCUUGUGUACAGCACCGUCUCUGUAUUCAGUGGUUGACCUUUAACCCCUGACCUCUCUCUAUAGUCUUGUGUACAGCACCGUCUCUGUAUUCAGUGGUGGAGGGCAGCCUGAGAGCCAAGUCCUGCAUUGACCUAGUGGUGCGUCACCGAGACGUGUCCCCCCGCCACUGGGGAAGGAGAGAUCGGUUCCGCUUGGAGGUGUCGGGCGGAGGGCUGGAGGCGAAUCGGGAGGUUUGGGCCGAGCUCAGGGGAGGACAGGCCACUGCCCAGAACAGAUCCACUGGCCCCCCGAGACUCCUCCCACCCUCUCUCGCCCCUCUACCUUACUUCACAUUGCCCCAGAAAGUUUGGAGACUGUCCCAGUCUGCAGUGUCGGUGGUGAUGGGUGUGGUGUGUGUUGCUUUCUUAAUGCUCCCCCUCCACUCUGAGCCCAACAACUUGGUUCCUAGCUAUGCCCAUGUGACUGUCACACAGAAAUUGGUGUGCGCCUACGCACUGGGUCUGCUCACCAUGGUGUUUCUACGGUAACCAGAGGAGGAGACGAUGUUUCCAUGGAGAUUCAGACCAAGAUCCCCCCCCUGGCCAUUCCCCAGACCGACAGGGCUGAUAUGGACCGACAGGGCUGAUAUGGACCGACAGGGCCGAUAUGGACCGACAGGGCUGAUAUGGACCGACAGGGCUGAUAUGGACCGACAGGGCUGAUAUGGACCGACAGGGCCGAUAUGUUGUAGGCACCGACAGGGCCGAUAUGUUGUAGGGACCGACAGGGCUGAUAUGGAC